GUGCAGUAAGAUUCAUGUCAAGCUCCCGAUGAGGUGUCCACUGUAAGAUCUCUAUGUUUCCUUCAUGAUGACUUGGAGAAAAAAAAGCACAUCCAAAUAGUUCUCCAUCUAUUCCAUCUCAAAAUGACUGCGCAAACAAAGGGAGAGGCAAUGCUGUUUGGAGGUCUUCCUCUUGGGCCUUGCACGAUGGAAAUGAUUUGACUGGAUGCCUAAUUUCAGUUAAAGUCAGACUGCUUUAUAGAAGACAAAACCAGCAAGAGCCAGGCUGUUGUCCAAGAGGUGUUCACAUGCAGGUGGCUGCAGCAGAGAGCUUAAUGGUGGUGCACAGUGUUUCUUUUUUAAUACUGGGAAACUUUAUCCAGUAAGGAGGGCCUGCAGUAUUCCAAUCUGUGAACUCUUAAGUGCUUUCACUAGAGAGCUGCAAGUCAAACAAGUAACUUCCUUAAUUGGGAUGGUUUUGGAACAGGCCAGUGAAAGAGUUACGUCCCUGGUGAGUCGAGAAAGCUGUCCCCUACUGAGUCAUCUUCUGUUCACCUGAGCUGAAUCAUCUCCUGUGCAUCUGUUUGUAUCUUCUCCUACUUAAUCUAGAGGCUGUGCCUGGACUACAGGACCACAGUCCUUUGUCUCCUGUGUGCUCGGGAAAUACUCUCUAGCUCAUCUCUGGACUGCAGAAGAGGGGAUUCCCUUCCCCUGGAAAGCAGGGCACAGGGAGGUCCGGACCACAAGCACGGCUUGCCUCAGCGUGGAUGGAGUGAGGACAUGCCCGUGUGUACAUCUGGACUGUGAGUCUCACCAGAAGAGUUGUCAGUUAUAGAGAUUCUUAUCCUGAGCAAACAAUUUUAAGCAGAUCAUAUCAAAUUCCUUAAGAUUACUCAGUAUUUUAAAGGAAAUAUUGGGGGGGUUCUCUUUAUUUCGUGAGUUGUUUGGUGAUGGAAGGAGAUGCGGUGUGCAGCUACAGCAGCCACUUUUUCAAGUGCUAUUCUGCAAUGAAAAGGGUUAUAGAUGUCCUCUCUACUUUUUCAAAAAUGAUGGCACUCUUCUUUAGAAUAAUAUGAAACAAUUAAAUAAUAGUUAAAACAAUAAUAAUUAAAACAAUUUAAAAAGAAAAAUAAGUCAAAUACUGUGAGAAUUGCCUAGAUUAGAGAAACUUGGCAAUACUGCAAUGUCCCAGUAAUAAGUCUAUGCCUCUGUGUGAAAGCCCCACUAGAAGCUUUCCCAUUUAGACAAGACACACAUUCAUAAGCAAUGUAUAGGGUGCUCUGCAUACAAAAUUGUGUACAAGACAUUACAGACUGGCUCAGAAGUUAAGCCUGAAUCAUACGGCAAUAAACAGAUCCCAUUGAUUUGAAGGCCAGAAGGUAUCAUCCCACCCAACUGUCUGCAUAACCCAGACUACUCACUCAUUGUAACUUUUUACUGAGACUCAAAACACUGAUGCAGAAUCCAAGCAUAAUCCUUUCUUCAGGAAUUAGCCAAAUUAGUCACAGCAUCUACUGUGUUGACAAAGAACUUCAACGGAAAAAACACAGCACCACAAAAACACACAAAACACGAAGGCUGAGCAGCUGAACAAAGCUUUAAGCCUUGCUGAUCACUUCUUGUUGCAAAAAGGGAACUGAUAAACUGUAACAACAAAGACAGACAAAAAAAAAAAAUGGCCUAAGAGAGUAUAGGUUGUGAAUAGAUACCUCUUUGUGUAAAACAGAGCUCUUAAAAUGUUAUGGUUUUUAUACUUAUCAUAUGCUUCUGGCAUUAUUGCUUUCAAUAGUAACAGUAACAGUAGUAAUGAACCAGAAGGUACGAAAAUCCAAGUUUUUUUUCUCUUAAGAACACUGAAAAACUGGGAACUUAGAAAGUUUCUGUUUAUUAAAAAGCCUAGCAGUGGUCAGACAAAAGAUGUGUUACAUCUCCCACGUGUGGCAGAAGGCACUACAGGGUAAGCAGAUUUGCUGGAUUUAUUCCUUAUGUUGGAGGAUGCUAUUACAAGGCCUUAAGGCCCUUUUCAGUUGCCAGCAUUAGAGUAAAAAUAAAUGUGUAUAUUCUGUCCAGCCUCAUGGCACUGGCAUGUACCUCACCAUAUGGAAAUAUCAGGGUGAACAGUAUUUCAAGCUGCGAGUCUAAUGCUGACCACAUAUCAAAUGCAAUGUUAGUCUUGACUGGUGUAGCGUCUUUUUGGCAAGAGAGCAGAUGUGCAAUGUAGUAUUUUUAGAGCCUGAACCUGUGUUAGCACACAGCCUUUGAGGAGUCUCA
Pogoniulus pusillus (Red-fronted tinkerbird) is the source of this 2250-nucleotide long non-coding RNA. RefSeq lists it as uncharacterized. The record is from RefSeq and is a predicted model, not a curated record. The transcript has 4 exons. Lineage: Eukaryota; Metazoa; Chordata; Aves; Piciformes; Lybiidae.